UUUCCGUAGGUGAACCUGCGGAAGGAUCAUUCAUAAUAAGUGUUUUAUGGCACUUUUUUAAAUCCAUAUCCACCUUGUGUGCAAUGUCAGGGUUGAUUUUUCUCUCGAGAGGAUCAACCCCAAACAUCAACUAUAUCUCAACUCUUUGUCUGAAAAAUAUUACGAAUAAAACAAUUCAAAAUACAACUUUCAACAACGGAUCUCUUGGCUCUC
This 213-nucleotide unclassified non-coding RNA is filed under the name plant metagenome. RNAcentral describes it as "partial contains small subunit ribosomal RNA, internal transcribed spacer 1, and 5.8S ribosomal RNA". The record is from RNAcentral.